Molecule: ribosomal RNA, 443 nt
Filed under: uncultured bacterium
Lineage: Bacteria
Description: partial 16S ribosomal RNA
Rfam family: Bacterial small subunit ribosomal RNA
Source: RNAcentral
CCUACGGGAGGCAGCAGUGGGGAAUAUUUGGCAAUGGGCGCAAGCCUGACCCAGCAACGCCGCGUGAAGGAAGAAGGCUUUCGGGUUGUAAACUUCUUUUCUCAGGGACGAAACAAGUGACGGUACCUGAGGAAUAAGCCACGGCUAACUAGGUGCCAGCAGCCGCGGUAAUACGUAGGUGGCAAGCGUUAUUCGGAUUUACUGGGUGUAAAGGGAGUGGAGGCGGGACUGCAAGUCAGAUGUGAAGUCCACGGGCUCAACCUGUGGCCUGCAUUUGAAACUGUCGUUCUUGAGUACUGGAGAGGCAGACGGAAUUCCUGGUGUAGCAGUGAAAUGCGUAGAUAUUAGGAGGAACACCAGUGGCGAAGGCGGUCUGCUGGACAGCAACUGACGCUGAGGCGCGAAAGCGUGGGGAGCGAACAGGAUUAGAUACCCCAGUAGUC